GAUGAACGCUGGCGGCGUGCCUAAUACAUGCAAGUCGAACGAAUUACUUAAGGGUAAUGAGUGGCGAACGGGUGAGUAAGAUAUAGGUAACCUGGCUUACAGAGGGGGAUAGCUACUGGAAACGGUAGGUAAAACCGCAUAAAUAUGAUAAUCGCAUGAAUAUGAUAUAAAAGUUCCUAAGGGAAUACUGUAAGAUGGGCCUAUAGCGCAUUAGCUAGUUGGUAGGGUAAAAGCGUACCAAGGCGACGAUGCGUAGCCGGACUGAGAGGUUGAACGGCCACACUGGGACUGAGACACGGCCCAGACUCCUACGGGAGGCAGCAGUAGGGAAUUUUCGGCAAUGGGGGAAACCCUGACCGAGCAACGCCGCGUGAAGGAAGAAGGUAUUCGUAUCGUAAACUUCUGUGAUAGAGGAAGAAAGGCUAUAACAGGGAAUGGUUAUAGAGAUGACGGUACUCUAAGAGGAAGCCACGGCUAACUACGUGCCAGCAGCCGCGGUAAAACGUAGGUGGCAAGCGUUAUCCGGAAUUAUUGGGCGUAAAGAGGGAGCAGGCGGAAAUCAGGGUCUAAGUUGAAAGGCUAGUGCUUAACAUUAGGAAUGGCUUAGAAACCGGAUAUCUAGAGUUCUGAAGAGGAUCGUGGAAUUCCAUGAGUAGCGGUGAAAUGCGUAGAUAUAUGGAGGGACACCAGUGGCGAAGGCGACGAUCUGGGCAGAAACUGACGCUGAGUCCCGAAAGCGUGGGGAGCAAAUAGGAUUAGAUACCCUAGUAGUCCACGCCGUAAACGAUGAGUACUAAGUGUUGGUGGUGAGACAUCAGUGCUGUAGUAAACACAAUAAGUACUCCGCCUGAGUAGUACGUUCGCAAGAAUGAAACUCAAAGGAAUUGACGGGGGCCCGCACAAGCGGUGGAGCAUGUGGUUUAAUUCGAAGCAACGCGAAGAACCUUACCAAGUCUUGACAUACUGAUGAAGGCUCUAGAGAUAGAGAGAUAGAUACAUCAGAUACAGGUGGUGCAUGGUUGUCGUCAGCUCGUGUCGUGAGAUGUUGGGUUAAGUCCCGCAACGAGCGCAACCCUUGUCGUUAGUUACCAGCAUGUAAGGAUGGGGACUCUAGCGAGACAGCCGAGGAAUCGGAGGAAGGCGGGGAUGACGUCAAAUCAUCAUGCCCUAUAUGACUUGGGCUACACACGUGCUACAAUGGUCGGUACAAAGUGAAGCGAGUUCGCGAGGAUAAGCAAAGCACAAAAAGCCGAUCACAGUUCGGAUUGUAGUCUGCAACUCGACUACAUGAAGUUGGAAUCGCUAGUAAUCGCAAAUCAGCAAUGUUGCGGUGAAUACGUUCUCGGGCCUUGUACACACCGCCCGUCACACCAUGAGAGUUGAUAACACCCGAAGCCGGUGGCCGAACCUUUUAGGAGGAAGGAGCUGUCGAAGGUGGGAUUGAUGAUUAGGGUG
This 1455-nucleotide ribosomal RNA is filed under the name uncultured bacterium. Its description in RNAcentral is "bacterial SSU rRNA". It matches the Rfam family "Bacterial small subunit ribosomal RNA". The record is from RNAcentral.